GACGUAGGGCGCGAGCGUUGUCCGGAUUCAUUGGGCGUAAAGGGUGCGUAGGCGGCGCGGUAAGUCGGGUGUGAAAACUCUGGGCUCAACUCGGAGACGCCACCCGAUACUGUUGUGACUUGAGUCCGGUAGGGGAGUAUGGAAUUCCCGGUGUAGCGGUGAAAUGCGCAGAUAUCGGGAGGAACACCAGUGGCGAAGGCGGUACUCUGGGCCGGAACUGACGCUGAGGAGCGAAAGCGUGGGUAGCGAACAGG
Molecule: ribosomal RNA, 254 nt
Filed under: uncultured bacterium
Lineage: Bacteria
Description: partial 16S ribosomal RNA
Rfam family: Bacterial small subunit ribosomal RNA
Source: RNAcentral